Molecule: ribosomal RNA, 521 nt
Filed under: uncultured Glomus
Lineage: Eukaryota; Fungi; Glomeromycota; Glomeromycetes; Glomerales; Glomeraceae
Description: bacterial SSU rRNA
Rfam family: Eukaryotic small subunit ribosomal RNA
Source: RNAcentral
AGCAGCCGCGGUAAUUCCAGCUCCAAUAGCGUAUAUUAAAGUUGUUGCAAGUUAAAAAGCUCGUAGUUGAAUUUCGGGAUCAAUAUACCGGUCGUGCCUCAGGUAUGAACUGGUCUUAUUGGUUUCUCCCUUCUGACGAACCAUGAUGUCAUUAAUUUGAUGUCGUGGAGAAUCAGGAACUGCUACUUUAGAAAAAUUAGAGUGUUUAAAGCUGGCUAACGCUUGAAUACAUUAGCAAUGGAAUAAUGAAAUAGGACGUCCGAUCCUAUUUUGUUGGUUUCUAGGAUCGACGUAAUGAUUAAUAGGGAGUAGUUGGGGGCAUUAGUAUUCAAUUGUCAGAGGUGAAAUUCUUGGAUUUAUUGAAGACUAACUACUAGCGAAAGUCAUUUGGCCUAAGGUAUGUUUUACAUUAAUCAAAGAACGGAAAGUUAGGGGAUCGAAGACGAUCAGAUACCGUCGUAGUCUUAACCAUAACUAUGCCGAUAGGGAUCGGAGUAAGUUAAUUUUAAAUGACUCAUUCG